RNAcentral lists this ribosomal RNA (426 nucleotides) under Diglyphus isaea. RNAcentral describes it as "eukaryotic LSU rRNA". The record is from RNAcentral. Lineage: Eukaryota; Metazoa; Arthropoda; Insecta; Hymenoptera; Eulophidae.
CCUGAGAAACCCAAAAGAUCGAAUGGGGAGAUUCAUCGUCAGCGGCGCUGGCUUCCGUGCGGCGCGCGAUGGCGGGGACCUCGGUCUCGCGUCACGCCGCCGCUGCGGCAUGCCCGGUGUCGUCGGCGUGCACUUCUCCCCUAGUAGGACGUCGCGACCCGUUGGGUGUCGGAUCGAUGGCCGGUCGGUCGUCUGUCGUGCUCUCGCGCUUCAGACCGUCCGGUCGAACGUCCGACUGCCCGGCGGUAUCGAACGUUGAAAACUGGUACUGGGCCGCAUUCAGUGCGUUCCUGGCUCGUCGGCAGGCUCGUCUCGCUCGGAUUUACGGACCUAGCGCCGUUGCCGGGCGCUUGGCGCGGCCGUUAGUCGGCGAUGUCCUCGGACUGGCUCUUACCGGUCGGCGACGCUACUGCUUUGGGUACUUUC